GUGUGUGUGUGGGUGGGUGUGUGUGUGUGGGUGUGUGUGUGUGUGUGGGUGCAGUUGUGUGUUUUUGUAUAGAACACGCACACCCUUCUCUAACGCUCUGCGCACCUCUUCCUCAGAGCUCUUUUGCUUCUCAGCACAUUUAUCUUCCAUGGCGGAGAACCUCCACUAGGAUGGUUCGUUCUUUUUCGGUCCUCUGCCUGUCGGAGCUGUUGCCCAGUUGGUCACGUUGCCCAUGUUCCACCCAGUGGUUUCAGUCCAUUUCAGGUGCGCCUGCUGACGUGAUGGAUGGGCCUUUUUGAAACUGCCAGAUCUUUUUGCCAAAUUGUUGCUUCUUUUUUUCAUGCUAAUCAUCCCCAUGAUAGUGCCCGUUCCUUGCCCCCCAACACUUCUUUCAUUUGAAACAAGAAAUGAUCGCCGUCGAGGAACUAAGCUCUUACACUGGCCUCAUGUUUGUUUAUAUCCUUAUUACCUUUUGUAAUUCUCAGUCAGCUUGGUAAAGGAGUUGGCCUUCGCUCCCCUUUGCUAUGUACUUUCUGACUGUGACACAGCCACUCGCUGAUUCCUGAGAGAUGGACAGCUUUGACGGAGCCAUUGCAGGCAAAGCAAGUGGGAUGCCAACUGCUGAGACAAAUACACAGCAGAAGGGACAGGCUCAAAGUGGAAGAAGACAGACUGGGGAAGGGGGUAGCUGAUUUCAACAUUUGUUUGCAAAGACAAACCUUGGGCUGCAAAGACCAGUGAGGCAUUGUACACAGCAGGCCUCUCCAUUACAGCUGGCUUCCUGAAGCCUUGGACAGGUGGCAGACCUCAGCAGAAUCAUUAAAUGCAAAAAGAUUUGAGAUUCAUUGCAGGUAACUGAGUGAAUGUCUUUGAAGCACAAAGGCGAGUUAGUGGCCCAUAUGCUUAACAACCCUGCAAGUUCUGUUUCAUGGCACUUAACAAAAAGGAGUUUUUAAACCCCUGAUCGGUAGUAACCUUCUGGAAUAGAAAUUUCAGGGCUGCAAAUGGGGCCAGUGAUGGGGAGACCUGGUUGGGAGAUCAAGUUGCUGGAAAAAAUAAAAUAAAAAAUUGCAUUUUUUGCAUGGCACAGGACUGAAUCCAAAUCACCAUUCUUUACAAGGCCUCGUGCUUGUGUUGCAUAUGUAUAUGGAUGGGAGUGUAUCACAUAUAGAUGUAGUGGUGUAGAUUUUGAUGUCUUUAUGAUGAAAAAAUAGAAAUCAUUGCUAUUUAUUUGUUUGUUUUUUUCCUGUAAUGAAAUGGAAAGGGGUUGGCUUGUUGCAAAGUGAAUGUCAGUUUUCAUUAAAUGCUGCCAAGGUUAUUUAGUUAAAUGUAGGUUACAGAUCUGCUCCAGAAAUACAAAUACAUACAGACACAAACAGGACAACGAUGUCCAGUAGAUUACGGGUAGUCAUGA
Non-coding RNA from Electrophorus electricus (electric eel), 1414 nucleotides. The record is from RefSeq and is a predicted model, not a curated record. NCBI's taxonomy places the organism in Eukaryota, Metazoa, Chordata, Actinopteri, Gymnotiformes, Gymnotidae.